This 495-nucleotide ribosomal RNA is filed under the name uncultured bacterium. RNAcentral's name for it is "partial 16S ribosomal RNA". It matches the Rfam family "Bacterial small subunit ribosomal RNA", at positions 28 to 505 of the family's 1533-position model. The record is from RNAcentral.
GAUGAACGCUGGCGGCGUGCCUAAUACAUGCAAGUCGAGCGAACGGACGAGAAGCUUGCUUCUCUGAUGUUAGCGGCGGACGGGUGAGUAACACGUGGAUAACCUACCUAUAAGACUGGGAUAACUUCGGGAAACCGGAGCUAAUACCGGAUAAUAUUUUGAACCGCAUGGUUCAAAAGUGAAAGACGGUCUUGCUGUCACUUAUAGAUGGAUCCGCGCUGCAUUAGCCAGUUGGUAAGGUAACGGCUUACCAAGGCAACGAUGCAUAGCCGACCUGAGAGGGUGAUCGGCCACACUGGAACUGAGACACGGUCCAGACUCCUACGGGAGGCAGCAGUAGGGAAUCUUCCGCAAUGGGCGAAAGCCUGACGGAGCAACGCCGCGUGAGUGAUGAAGGUCUUCGGAUCGUAAAACUCUGUUAUUAGGGAAGAACAUAUGUGUAAGUAACUGUGCACAUCUUGACGGUACCUAAUCAGAAAGCCACGGCUAACUACG